GACGAACGCUGGCGGCGGGCUUAACACAUGCAAGUCGAACGGAAAGGCCCUGCUUUUGUGGGGUGCUCGAGUGGCGAACGGGUGUGUAACACGGGAGUAACCUGCCCUGUACUUUGGGAUAACUUCAGGAAACUGGUGCUAAUACAGGAUAGGAGCUCCUGCUGCAUGGUGGGGGUUGGAAAGUUUCGGCGGAUGGGGAUGGACUCGCGGCUUAUCAGCUUGUGGGUGGGGUAGUGGCUUACCAAGGCUUUGGCGGGUAGGCGGCCUGAGAGGGUGAGCGGGCACAUUGGGACUGAGAUACGGCCCAGAGUCCUACGGGAGGCAGUAGUGGGGAAUAUUGCACAAUGGGCGGAAGCCUGAUGCAGCAACGCCGCGUGCGGGAUGACGGCCUUCGGGUUGUAAACCGCUUUAGCCUGUGACGAAGCGUGAGUGACGGUAAUGGGUAAAGAAGCACCGGCUAACUACGUG
Molecule: ribosomal RNA, 468 nt
Filed under: uncultured bacterium
Lineage: Bacteria
Description: partial 16S ribosomal RNA
Rfam family: Bacterial small subunit ribosomal RNA
Source: RNAcentral